UGGGGAAUAUUGGACAAUGGGCGCAAGCCUGAUCCAGCCAUGCCGCGUGUGUGAAGAAGGCCUUUUGGUUGUAAAGCACUUUAAGCGGGGAGGAGGGUACUCUUGUUAAUACCAAGAAGUAUCGGACGUUACCCGCAGAAUAAGCACCGGCUAACUCUGUGCCAGCAGCCGCGGUAAUACAGAGGGUGCGAGCGUUAAUCGGAAUUACUGGGCGUAAAGCGCGCGUAGGCGGUUAUUUAAGUCGGAUGUGAAAUCCCCGAGCUCAACUUGGGAAUUGCAUUCGAUACUGGGUAGCUAGAGUAUGGGAGAGGAAGGUAGAAUUCCAGGUGUAGCGGUGAAAUGCGUAGAGAUCUGGAGGAAUACCGAUGGCGAAGGCAGCCUUCUGGCCUAAUACUGACGC
This 400-nucleotide ribosomal RNA is filed under the name uncultured bacterium. RNAcentral describes it as "bacterial SSU rRNA". It matches the Rfam family "Bacterial small subunit ribosomal RNA", at positions 355 to 746 of the family's 1533-position model. The record is from RNAcentral.